AAGAUAGAGGCAAUUCUUUGGUAGAGACGAGAAUCCGUCUACCCCCAAUAUAGCCAUGUUUCGAUAUACAGUAGCAUAAGGAGCAGGGUAUUGACUUCCAGGAGUCCCAAGAUCCUUGAAGGCCUUGAAAAACGGCCAAAAGACACAAGGUGAAAUCAUGCAACCCAUUGCAGUGCCAAUUAGUUGGCUCACAAACAUGGACCGUGGUGAAGAAAGGGUUAGAUAACCAGUCUUGAAAUCUUGAGAGAGGUCGGAGGCUGUGGAGACGAUAUUCAUCAUGACUCCACAGGCCGCUAGUCCUGCAAGAACUCCACCAUGAGAGCCACCAGCCCAUGCUCCAAUUACAAAAAUUGCAAGCUUGCCAUAGGUGGAAGCAAGAGACCAGUCAGUGUGGCCACAGCCAUAAGCAUUACAGAAUGCAAGGGCUGGCCCAAAGAUCGAUGUAGAUAACCAAUAUAUAAUACCAUUUGAGUUCGGGAAAUAUAUACGGUAGCGUGGCCGUGGAGAUAGCAGCUAUUGCGACAUAGCCUGCAACAGCAAACCAUGUUGGAAUUUGAUCUUUGAGAAAGAGGUGGGUGCGACGUUGCUCAUCAUAGGAGAUCCUGGAUGUCUCGGGAGAGGAACGGUCAGCAACAGGCAGAGCACCAGUUGCAUCUCUCCCACGAAGUUGAAAAAACAAUGCAGCGAGUGUUCGGCUUAGAACCUUGAAGAAGUUGUACAGACCGUCACCCAAGAUCAAGGCAGUGGCAAUAAAUACCUGUGUUCAUUGCAUAAGCGUUGGUAUGAAAGAAAAGGCUUCAAGAAAAUGUUAAAAAUCAUGUAAGGGGCAUUCUUGUCACCUUAACCUUGUUAGAAAACUUACCUUGUAACCUUGGAGGCCAUUUAGGCUGUCUGGUUUGAGGUCUGCUGGAUACCAGUCACCCUUUUUUGUGUCUAUGAGAGGCCACAUGAGACCCCAGGAAAGAAGUCCUCCAAGCAAUACUGAUAUGUUUAUGAUGUAUGGGCAAAUCAUUCCAACUCCAACAUAUGUUGCUGAGAAAUCAAAGAAAAAGCAGUACAUGUAACAAGAACAUUAUUAGUCAAAGAUACCACAACGAAUUUGAAACAGAAUGCCAUAACCAAUGGAACUACAUUCAACAUGAAGAGAGGAUUUUGGAAGGUUGAAUAAUGCUUUUACUUGUUUUCAUAUGCUUUAAGCCCGAGUGAGGGGAACUCAGCAAAUCCACAACCAUCUCCUGCAGUGUAGAACCACUGAAAGAAACCUCAUAACAAGCUGAAUGAUAAGAACUUGCCCAACGCUUUCACUUGUUUUCUGAAACGGUAGAAAGAAAAAAGUUUGAUACUUUUACAUGCCGAAUGAUCAUCCAACUAUAUGUGCAUGAGGUCUGAUAAUGCCUUACUUUGCUAGCUUGGCUCCUGCAGGAGUGUGGAAGCUGUUGAUGAGAUGAGCAGUAGCAGUGCCACUUGGAUAUGUCAAUUUGAAGUCUAUAAUCAUGAUCUGGAAAUAAUAACCAGGGUAACAAUGAAGAUUAGAUUUUGGCAAAUUCAAUACAUUCAAAAAGAAAUCAAAAUGCAGAGAGAAGUUUUCUAUUUCCUAUACGAAAUUGAAUGGCGAUAUAGCGUUGUGAAGUCUCUACCUUUCGAAGAGGCACCACUGAAAAGAGUCCAAGAAAGCUAACAACAAAGAGAAAGCCAAUCAUCCAUGACAGAGAUGGGUUCUUAAAGGCAACACUAUCUUCCGUUGAUUGUUUGGCCACAGUUUCGCUCAUUCCUAACAAAUAACUCCCAAAGCCUCCUAUUAUAAGGAAACAAGAAACAAAUUAUAGGAUGGAAACCGUUAGUACAAAAAAAAUCAACAUGCUUAAUUUCAUCUUUAGCAUAAUCACAAAUUACUUCUUUCAUUACAACAAUUUCAGUUUCGAAAGCUCUUGGAUGAUAAGUUGGAAAUGUAGUGUAUUCAUCUUGACAUCAUGCUAAUGAUUCUCAGUAAAUGAGCAAGCUUGGUAUACUAAAUUUUAUUAAAAAAUAAUAUAAAUUAUAUCCCUUUCCGUUCGUAUCUUCUGAUACAAGCAUAAGUCACCUUGAUGAAAUCUAGAUUAACAGUACAAACAAAUUAAUUAUUCAUAUUUUCUUUUCUGUUACCAACGGGGAGGACUUCUUUUUCCACUAAUCAGAAUAUUCUUACAAGACUUGUAUAACUUUGAAGUAAGCAAAUCAUUCAUAUCCAGCUCAUAUAUAUGAAUUGAAUGGUCAAAAAAGUAUCUGUCUAGAGACAUCUGCCAGCGACACUUUAUGCCUCGUGGAGGACCAUAAGAAAAAUAAAAAGCAGCCCCACCACCAUUAUCACACUUCAUGAGACAGGGAAAGGCUAGUAAAGAAAAUUUACAGACCAGUUGAUUUAACUUUUUUACUAAAGUAUAUUUGUUCAUGUCUCAAACAGCAAGUUGAAGUGUUGAUUACUUUAGUAAAACUUCACAAGUGGCUGAAGCAAUACCAGAACUGGUAGUCAUAAUUAAAACCUCAAUUUUGAUUUGUCUCCCAAAGACUUUAGGCAGUAAUGACUUAAUUCUUGUCUUCAAGGAUCAUGUAAAUCUACUCACAGUACGUAUCUGAGAUAAAAGGGAUCGAGAGAGAAACUUACAGUAGUUACUAAAACUCAGUUUCAAGAUUUGCUUCUUCUAAUUGCUAUAUUACAUGACAAGGAACAGAAACAAAACCAAAUGCACAUAAAUUUUAAUAUCUUGAUCAAACCAUGGUUAUUUAAUUUAUCAACUGGUCUGACAAAUACUUUUUUUUUUCGUACUGGUCUGUAAAUUUUCUUUACUACUCCAUGGUUUGACAAAUACUUUUUUUUUUCGUUAUGGGGUCCAUGGUUUAUCCUUGUAUUAGCCAAGAAGGAAGGCAUGGCUAUUUAAUUUAUCCAUGGUAAUUAUUUAUGUGUCCUCCUUCGCCGGUUUAGGUUACUUGUUAGCUAUUGCCAUGUUUUCUUUUCCCAUGCUUUUUGGCAUUUGUACCCAUUAAUUAUUCACCUUGCUUUGAUUUGCCAAUGUUAUGCUAUUAAUAAAGUUUCUUCACUAAUUGUGUAUUAAUAUAUACUUUUAUUCUUUUGAGAAGUCGACAUAUAUACUUCAAUGCAUGGUUGGUUAUUAAUAUCGUCAUACAUAUAUUAGGAAUUGAAUCUUUAAGCAUUUAGUACAAACCCAGAGGCAAACCUUACUGUGAUAGCAAGAAUGGAUCCAACUCCAUAUCUUUGAUUUGCCAAUGAUAUCAUAGCCAGCAAAAAGAGCAAACCUGAUACCAAAUAUAGAAAUGUUAGCCGGGAUUUCACCACUGAACGAGUUGUUGCCAAGGAUCAGUGUCUGUAGCCGAAUUCCAAACGACCUACUUCUUGGGGGAUAGUAUUGGUGAAACUGUUGUUUUCCAAGCUUAGUAGCCUAAGAAAACUCAAGUUCCCAAUGGAGGGAGAUAGGCUGCCCACCAGUUGGCUGGAGUGUAGGUCAAGCUGUAUGACUCUUUCAUCGCGUCCUCCACAUGUUACUCCUGACCACUGGCAGAAGUGUAAGGAUUCAUUCCACGAGCUUAGUUUUUUAAGGGGAUCUGAGAUUUGAGCCUUGAAAGCUAGUAGCGAGAGCUUGUCUAUCUCGCUUCCUCCUCUAGCUAAUGAGAAGGAGAAAGAGUGUUGAAUUAUUUGAAAGGAAAGAAACCACAAUAUGAAUGAACUCAUGCUUGGAAGCUUCAGUUUCAAUGGGGUCUUACAGAUUUAAAUUGAGAUCAAAUGGCUUGCUGUCACAGUGUCAAAUGUGCACGAGGUGCACGCUUCGGCAGGCUGGCCAAAACAAGGCCUAAGGGUGCUGGCAGCCAUGCCAUCAGUGGGAGAAAUCGUCAGCGCAGAUUUAUGCGGUUGAAGGUUCGUCAAAGGGAAAAUCGGCAGCGCAGAUUGUUGACGAACAUGGGCUGGACGAGGGACUGUCCAAGCCAAGCAGGAAAACUCGUCAGGGGGAUAGGCUGACGAGAAUUGGGGCUAUCGCAGAAUUCGGCAGCAUAGACAGGGGCAGCCUGCACGCAGAUGCGAAUUCAGCAGCGCAGAGAUUGGCAGCACGCAUAUGCGAAUUCGGCAGCGCAUUGGCAGCCUGCCCGCAGAUGCGGAUUCGGCAGCGCGCAACAACUUGUGCAAGUCAGGGGCUCGACUUGGCACGAUCUAAAACUUGGGCAAAGGAUUGUCCAAGGCAUGGGCUAAGAGCUCUAGGCGCUGGGACGCGCCAACGAAGGCACACUGCCUAGAAUUCGGCAGCGAUGGAUCACGGCAGCCUUGCAUAGGCAGAGAUGAAUUCGGCAGGCAGCAUGCAACGGUCUAUGCGAGUCUUUGAGCUUGCGACUUGGCAUGGACGUGGGGGCUUAGAUGAUGGACCUUCUAAGUCAGCAGCUGACACAGCAGAAGGUGGCAGCUGGGGCUGCCAAGUAGACAGCCAGGAAAUGGGGGAAGUGGCAGCUUCAUGGGAGGCAGAACGUGGGAGCAUAACUGGGGUGCUGUCCGGGCCACUAUGUCCUGAAAACAUGGGAUCAUGGGUGAGAGGUAGUGCUCCACCAUGUCCUGAAAACAUGGGAUCAUGGGAGAGAGGUAGUGCUCCACUAGGUCCCGAAAAUGGGGGAUAAUGGGGAGGAGCCUUUGCAGCUCCUUUGCUUGUCUAUAAAUACAAGAUGUAGCUCUUGGUUGUGGGAGGAGCAUUCGGGUGGGAAUGUUCAGAUUGUAAGGGCAUUCGGUUGGGAAUGUCCAGCAUGUAGGGGCAUGCAAGAACAUGUGUAGAACACUAGUUAGAUGUAGCUUGGUGUAGCAUGUAAUCUUUGUGCAUAGCACACAUACGGAUUUGUGUAUAGUUUCCUUUGUGUAUGAGAUUAAUAAAGGUUGGGAAAGAGUUCCUGUAAAGCUUGUUGUGCACUAUGAUUCUUAUCCUUGCUUGUGUAUUCCGCUUGCUUAGUAAUUAGGCAAACACGAGUGAGAUUGGUGAGGGAAGGCUGAGUCUAGUGAGGGACUAGGCUGCCGCACGGGUUUAUUCGCGUAGCGAAAAAUACCCCCGUGACAAUUGGUAUCAGAGCGCGGUUGCUUUCGUGGCAGGAUGACGAGAAUAAUUCUGUGGCCAAAUCAACGGACUGAUUUGGGAGAGCUACUGCUUCUGCCGAUGGAGAAGCAGAUUUCAGCGCAAUGAUCAGCGACGAGAAUGCUGAUGUUUCUCGGGACAAAUCGAAGGGACUGAUUUGGGAGAAACAUUGCUGCUGCUGAUGGACUGGCAGAAACUUUGGAGCAAGAGCGCAAUAUGCGUUCAUGACGAAACGAUGGGCUGUUUCGUAGCACAGACGAUGGGCUGUUCUGUGGGGGCAACUCGAAGGGCGGAUUUGUUCCAAGCCAUUUGAGGAAAAACUUGCUAGCGUUUUGGGCAGUGUUGGUGUUCAAAAGGCCUGCGGAGUUUUGGGGGUUUAACUACUCCAUGGGUGACGCAAAGUGAUGAUAAAGGGAUCAGCUCAAAAUGGGUGCUGAUUCGGCCAUGGAAACUGUCAGGUGGACUGGCAGACUUGAGAGCAGGGGCCAGCGGAGGGGCUUCUGGGCGCUUCUGUAUUUUCAUCAAAGCCUUAAGAGAAGGAUGGGGCGAGACAGAAGAAGAAGCAAGUCAAUGUGGAGAGCCUAAACUUGUUGCUGCUGAUGAUGGAUAGUCAGACGAGAAGGCAAAUCGGUAAGGGUUCGAAACUGAAAUUUGCAUUGUUGUUCUCUUGUGAUGGAAAUUACUUUGUGCGAGAUUGUUGCCCAAGGAGAGGAAACCUUGAUGUUGCCAGUGUGGAAGAUGGUGUUUGAGAUUAGGCAUAUGUAAACCUUAUACGUUUGCUAGAUGACCGAGAUGGAAUUCAGUCAUCAUGAGCCAGCAUAUCGGGGUGGAUGCAGUCUGGCCUUGCUUGCUGCCUUGGUGGCAGAACUUAGGGAUUGUUGUGCAUCUCAAGAAAGGAAUGUUCAGGGAGGUGGAAGAAAAAUCCAGAGAAGACCAAGUUGAGGGCAGACAAAUCUACAAGGAUUUGUUGUGGCUUUGCUGCCUUUGUGGAGGCAGAGUUGAUGUCUUCGGUGGAGACCUUGAUGAUGGACAGUUCAGGGUGAAGAAGACAGAACAGUGGCUGAGAUAGACUUUAGUCACGUUGAGACCAGGAUUGGAGGCGUUACAGAGGAGGCAGUACCGUGGGGGUGUGUCUCAAGGAGUCUGCACGUUGUCGAGGGACAGACUGGGUGACGGAUUCGGCAGCCGCUCCAGUGAGCUUGGCGUGGAAGCCAAAAUCGUCGACGAAGAUGAUUUUGUGUGCUGUCUUGGAAUCAGUACGAGCGGAUAUUCUGUGCAUUGCGAUGGUUGCAGUGAUGGAAGCAGAAUGCUAAUGACCUUUGUUGGGACAAAGUGUUGUGAGUUUUCGGCAGACAAAACAUGCAGCGAAGGUUGAAAACAGUAGGGGCUGCUUUGCGUCAGCGAAAACUUGUGUAACUGACGAAGUUUCUAGGGCAUGACAGUAGCGCAUGGGGGAACCAGGUCAGACGAAACUUGAUGCUGGGAUGCUAUGUUUUGUGCUAUGGCAGGUUAGAGAUGGACUUAGAGGGACUUGCCGAAAGACUUCGACAUGAGAUGAAGUUGAUCAUCGAAACUGAGUGGGUGCUAGGUUCAACAGCACUGUCUCAUUCUUAUUUCUUGCAGGUGGAGAACCUAAAAGGGCUGAUGGCAAUGGGAAGUCAGAAGCCAAGGGCAAGGAAAAGGUUUCGGAAUCAUGUUUGGGCUGUUUGAUUUGUGAGGGGAAGCACUUCACAAGGGACUGCCCAUUGAAGAGCACAGCUGAGUGCUACUUCCGUGGAGAAGGAUGGAGAGGGAACGACAUACGUAAAUCCUAUACGUGUGCUCAACACUAAGUAAAGAGUUAGUGUGAAGGGGCCAGCGUAGUUGAUGAAGACUUAGGCGUGGCCAAACUGCCUUGUGCGAGGCAGAUUCGGGGGAGUUUCAUAACUUUGACGAUGGACAGAUCAUGGUUUAACUCUAGGCGUGAGAAUGCGCCAACGAAAAACACACUGCAUAGGAUUCGGCAGCGAUGAACAGCAGCAGCCUUGCAUGGGCAGAGGUGAAUUCGGCAGGAUGUGUUGGUUGUGGAGAAGCGAGAUAAGUAAGCAAUAUUGGUAAUACUUGCAGUUUUGGGGCACGCAGAACGGUUGGAGAACUAGAUGUUUGUAUGGGAGCUCAUGUGGUUCUUCGAAGUGAUUUUGUGUGGAUGUAUUUUGUAAAGGAAGGGACGGAUUCCUUGGGUGUUAGGCGUGGCAUCUAAACUUUGCGAAAACAUGCUUGCAAGUAUGAUGUGUUUGACAUUUGUGGAAAACUAACGAGCCAAAACAGAAUGUGUCACAACUUGGUUUUUUGAAACAGGUUGACAAAGAUUCGGUGGACUGAAUUUGUUGUUGAAUGUGGGAAAAGCUAAGAGGUUUCGUGCGGAGAAACAUGGAUUGUGACGAGGAACAGAUGCAGUGCAAGGGUACUUCAAAUCUGUCCGACGAGGGCGUCGGGUUCUUUUGGUGGGGGUGGUUUGUCACAGUGUCAAAUGUGCACGAGGUGCACGCUUCGGCAGGCUGGCCAAAACAAGGCCUAAGGGUGCUGGCAGCCAUGCCAUCAGUGGGAGAAAUCGUCAGCGCAGAUUUAUGCGGUUGAAGGUUCGUCAAAGGGAAAAUCGGCAGCGCAGAUUGUUGACGAACAUGGGCUGGACGAGGGACUGUCCAAGCCAAGCAGGAAAACUCGUCAGGGGGAUAGGCUGACGAGAAUUAGGGCUAUCGCAGAAUUCGACAGCGUAGACAGGGGCAGCCUGCACGCAGAUGCGAAUUCGGCAGCGCAGAUAUUGGCAGCACGCAUAUGCGAAUUCGGCAACGCAUUGGCAGCCUGCCCGCAGAUGCGGAUUCGGCAGCGCGCAACAACUUGUGCAAGUCAGGGGCUCGACUUGGCACGAUCUAAAACUUGGGCGAAGGAUUGUCCAAGGCAUGGGCUAAGAGCUCUAGGCGCUGGGACGCGCCAACGAAGGCACACUGCCUAGAAUUCGGCAGCGAUGGAUCGCGGCAGCCUUGCAUAGGCAGAGAUGAAUUCGGCAAGCAGCAUGCAACGGUCUAUGCGAGUCUUUGAGCUUGCGACUUGGCAUGGACGUGGGGGCUUAGAUGAUGGACCUUCUAAGUCAGCAGCUGACACAGCAGAAGGUGGCAGCUGGGGCUGCCAAGUAGACAGCCAGGAAAUGGGGGAAGUGGCAGCUUCAUGGGAGGCAGAACGUGGGAGCAUAACUGGGGUGCUGUCCGGGCCACUAUGUCCUGAAAACAUGGGAUCAUGGGUGAGAGGUAGUGCUCCACCAUGUCCUGAAAACAUGGGAUCAUGGGAGAGAGGUAGUGCUCCACUAGGUCCCGAAAAUGGGGGAUAAUGGGGAGGAGCCUUUGCAGCUCCUUUGCUUGUCUAUAAAUACAAGAUGUAGCUCUUGGUUGUGGGAGGAGCAUUCGGGUGGGAAUGUUCAGAUUGUAAGGGCAUUCGGUUGGGAAUGUCCAGCAUGUAGGGGCAUGCAAGAACAUGUGUAGAACACUAGUUAGAUGUAGCUUGGUGUAGCAUGUAAUCUUUGUGCAUAGCACACAUACGGAUUUGUGUAUAGUUUCCUUUGUGUAUGAGAUUAAUAAAGGUUGGGAAAGAGUUCCUGUAAAGCUUGUUGUGCACUAUGAUUCUUAUCCUUGCUUGUGUAUUCCGCUUGCUUAGUAAUUAGGCAAACACGAGUGAGAUUGGUGAGGGAAGGCUGAGUCUAGUGAGGGACUAGGCUGCCGCACGGGUUUAUUCGCGUAGCGAAAAAUACCCCCGUGACACUUGUUGUGAUGCUCUAUGGAUCAAACAUUAAAUAGGAAAGUAAGGAAUAUUCCUUACAUCCUUAAGAUGCUUUCAGACUCAGCGAGAACCUUUUUCAGAUUCAUCAACCAACAUUUGAUCCCCACAUUGGUUUUAAGUCAACUAAGGUUUAAUUGGUUCAAGAAAAUUAAUGUUCAAGAGUUUCCAUUUUCACAACCCCUUGAAGACGUUUUCGAACGUCAGACAUGAUAUCGAAAUGGAUUGUCACCCGUCAAUCUCGCGGAGAAGUUAGUGACUUUUUGUUUGUUUAUUUUGAAGAAGCUUCACCUAGUAUUUAAUUUAAUUUAAUUAAAAAUUACUAAUAAAUCCAAAAAUUUACUAAGAAAUCCAAAUGUAUUUAUCGAUGUCAAAGAUUUUUAGAAUAAAAAAUUGAUUGUGACUAAAAAAAAUUCCUAACAUACCCUAUCUAAAAAAAAUUACUUUACAUUUUAAUAUAAUUUAAAAAUUUAAAAUAUUAACCAAAUUCUUAAGGUUUUAAUAAAUUAAUUUUUCUUACAUUUUCAUAGAAAAAAUAAAAUAAUUUUAUUUAUUCUUUAAAUAUUUAACCAUAUUCAAAUUAAACACUUAAUCCUUUUUUAUCUUUUUAGUUUUUAUAAUUAAAUAACAUAAAUAAAAAUACAAACACACAGUCACCUCUUUUCUUAUUAUUAUUUUUCUUAUACAUCCCUUUUUACAUGUAAAACAAAUAACAAAAAUUCAAACUAAAUCAAAUACAAUUCAAAAAUUACAAAACAAAAACCCAAAAAUCUACAGUAAUUGCAGGGAAGGCCCGGAACAGUGCUGGAAGGUUUCUGGGCGCGGGAACAGUGGCGGCGCGUGGGUUCACGCGGCGCCGCAGGAAAGUCCAACAAGCAGGGGGCUCUGGAACGGUUUCCUCCUCUCUUCUCUUCCCUGCCCGUGGUGGCUUUCACCGUGACCUGCAACGAAAGAAAACGCACAAGCAGUCGGUUUUAUUUUGUUUUCUAGAUCUGUCCAGUUCCUCCGCCUUCUCCCUUCUCUGUUGGUUUUCCUUCUGCCGAUGGCCGAUCUGGUGGCUGGGAGUGCUUCUUCUUCUUCUCCUCCGCUUCAGGUGGCUGGCGGUGAAGAGGAACGACCGAGAAGGGGGCGUCGCUGCUGGACCUGUUCGGCCGCCGCUGGGGGCUGUGGAGGAGAUAUGAAUGAACGCAGCGUGUUGAUGGCUAGGAGAGGGACGAUGUGGCUGAGGGGAGAAGGGAGGAUCUUUUGCCGGGAAGGGGAAGAUCCGCAAGGUCUGGCCGGGGCAGGAGCCAGAACGGGAGUGGUGGCUCUGGUGAGGUCAAGAGGGAAGAUGACGGGGAGAUGGGGGAAAUGGUUAGAGACCAGCUGCUUUGGUCAAGGGAGGGGCCAUGCUUUGGAGUUCUGGUUCUGUUUUUAUGGGUAUGGAGAGGGAAAUCAAAUGAGGCCCGGGGCUUGUGUGGUGAGCUGGGGAAGAAAUGGUUGUGGGAGCAAAAAUCCCGAAGCUCUCGUUCGGGUCAGGGAGUUCUGGUUCUCUCUUUUGCCAGGAGGCGGCGGUUGUAGCUUGGAGAGAGAGGGUUUGUGGUCGGCUGAAUUUUUCUUCCGCCAAGAAAAUGGAGGGGGUGGCCUUUCUUUUUUGGCAGAGAUGGCUCUCUGGUUCUCUUUGGCCAAGUUUCAGGGAGGCAGCUCAGAUGGCCAUAGGGGGGCGGCGGCUUGUGCUCUCUGUCAAAAGGAGAGGUUUUUUUUACUCUUUUUUUUUUUUUUUCUUCGUCAAAAUGAAGUUUACUGUAGAAUAGUAUAUAUAGUUUCAAACUAUUCCCUCAAUUUGUUUUUUCUUUAUUUUUGUAAAUUUUGAUUUUCCUUUUUUUUUUAAUUUUUAGUAUUAAAAUUUUUUUAUCAAAAAUAUAGUCAAUGCAUAACAACAACAAGGGUACAAUUUUCGAAGUCGAUAAGAAGGUUCCUUCUUGUUGUUUUGUUUUUCCCCUCUUAAAGACUAUUCUUUCUUCAUCGUGGAAAUUAAAGUCCAACACAUGACAAUGUUUCACGUGCGACACUAACAAUCCGAUCAUUUUACUUGCUUGUUAUUUUAAUUCCUUGGAAUCAGCAAAUGGACGAAAAAAGUCAGAGUGUUGCGUGCUCACAAGUAAUAACCAUUCAUUUUCAAAGUCAAGACACGCGUGUUCAAAUCAUCAUUCAUUUUCCAAGUCAAGACUGUAUGAGAAAGGAUUUAUAAAUUCCACAACGAAUAAAUAAAACCUCUCUCCCAGUAAUUGCUUUUUUUUUUUUUUUGUUAUUUCAAAAGUAUAUUCAAUCAUUGCCAAGCAUAGCGGGCCACAUCAUCUGACACCGCUCCCUGUAAAGUCAAAUCCAAGCAUCCGUAAAUGUUGAAUACUUUUCCAAUUCCAAUUCAACAUAUCGUGUCUCAUAUAUAUAUAUAUAUAUAUAUAUAUAUAUAUAUAUAUAUAUAUCAGCUCGCUAACCCUCUCCAUCUUUACAAUCACCCAUCUCGCACACUAGCUCUCUCUCUACACAUACCAAGACAUACAUUUGAUUCCCAAAAAAUCUCAGGUUUCCUUCGUGUCAGAAAUGGGGUCUAAAGGAGAGGCUCGAUACUUGACAAUAAUAGUACUCCUUGUUACCAUUAUUUUGUUAUCAUGUUCUAACCUACCUGUGAUAGAGGGGCAACGAUCUCGAUGCACAUAUGACCCCAAAGAUGGUAAGUGCAAAUUCGGUGAACCAGCUGCAGCUCAAAGGUUUGAUGGGGGGGGGAGUUAGGAGAGGUGGUUUGACCUAAUCGUAUGAUGAAUGAGUAAUCGUUUAUCCUUGUAUUAGCCAAGAAGGCAUGCAUGGCUACUUAAUUUAUCCAUGGUCAUUAUUUAUGUGUCCUCCUUCGCUAGCUGGUUUAGGUUACUAAUUAUACUAGCUAUUGCCAUGUUUUCUUUUCCCAUGCUUUUUGGCAUUUGUACCCAUUAAUUCUUUCACCUUGCUUUGAUUUGCCAAUGUUAUGCUAUUAAUAAAGUUUCUUCACUUAUCUAAAAGAAAAAAAACCUAGCUAAUUGUGUAUUUAUACUUUUUUUUUUUUUUGAGAAGUCGACAUAUAUACUUCAAUGCAUGGUUGGUUAUUAAUAUCGUCAUACAUGUAUUAGGAAUUGAAUCUUUAAGCAUUUAGUACAAACCCAGAGGCCAGCACAUUAAUUUGUUGUGUAUUUUGGUUUUGGGCAUCCCAAAAUGCUUUUUUCCUCAUACCUUUCAAAGAAAUGGCUACGCAUCCCCUCUUGCGAGAGAGGUCCACGAGAUAGAUUGAACUAUUUUAUCAUUGGAAUUAAAAAAAAAUAUGGAUUUUACAUUUUGGGUCAAAUCAAAUUGUGUAUACUAAUAAAAUAUAUAUAUAUAUAUAUAUUAAAAAAUAAUAUAAAUAAUAUUUUAAAAUUUUAUUUAACAACUUAAGUUUAUAUUAACAUCAAUUAAAUAUCUAGAUGACAUAAGGUAUUAAAUUAGUCAUCUAAGAUUAGACGUGCAUAACAAGAAAAUUCAUCUCUAUAUAUGAUAGUGACUCAGGGACAAAUUUGUUCUCACAUUGGAUUUAAAGACGAAACUCAUCUCCCUUUAAGGAAAAUUCAUGGUGACUAAUUUCAUUCCUUAUUUAAGGAAAUAAAAACUAAUUUCAUAUCCAAAUUAAGUCUUUAAUCCUAGUGAUUAGAAUUUCAAAUCUUAUCACUCUUGUUCUUUUUAAUUAGAUUAAAAAUUAUUAGCAAGAUAGUAAUAGCCCUUAUUCUCUCUAAUUAAAUUAAAAAAUAAAUAUAAGAUAUAUAUCCAUAAGAUAUGUAAAUUUGUACUUGAAGAAGUGUGCCAAAAAAUUAUAUCGUAAAUUCUUUCCUGAAAAAUAGCCUACAAGGAAGUUUAAAUACAAAAAAUAUUAUAUAUGCUUAUUAGUAAAAUCCUAAUUAAAUUUUAAAUUCUAAUCUAAAUAGGGAGAACAAUCCAAAAACAAUAAGAAAAAUAAAGACAAUCUUAAGCAAUAACUUUUAGACUAAAUUUAGCAUGUUCAUGAACUUAGAUGAAGUUGUCUUACUAAUCAUUUAAGGAAUAAGGCCUUUAGAAUGUUUUGAAAAAAAAUUUAGUUCAACUCAAUGGUCGGAUGAUAAGUUAUACUUAUUUUUAUUAUAUUAUCCAUUGGACUCAUUCGAAACUCCUCAAAAUCUAAAAAAAUUUAACAAUGAAAAAAAUAAAGAAAUAAAACAAAUUAUGCUAAGGAUAAUAAAUAUAGUGCCCUACUUUAUUCAUCUCACUUAUAAAAAAAAACUUGCUUUUGAUUUAAGUGUUAGAAACUGAACUCUUCCAUUCUAAAAACAUAGAUACUUUGAAUAUAGCUUUAUAGUGCAUACUCCCUAAGUAUAAUGUCUUUGAUUCGUGAGUUUCAAAUUCUAAUUUAUGAUGUAAGCAAGCUAAAGAAGGAUCCAUAUCAAAUAUUACACCUUUUGUUGUUGUAAAGUUCACUAAUAGUAGUUCACUGGUAGUUCCUUCACACAUUUUUAUACUUUAAACAUGAUCUUUGUUGUAAAAAACCUGCAGCAAUUAUUGAUGAAUAUUGUAAAAGGAUAAAAACUAGAAAGAACACAAGAUUUAAUGUGAUUCGACUAUGUGUCUACAUCCACAUGAGCGAUGAUCUUUUAUUUUUCACCAUAUGUCAAAUAGGAUUACAUAAUAUGUAUCUAUAGUAUACCCUAAACCGCUUAAGGGUCUAACCGCCUAAGAGAUAUUAUAAUUUUUUUAAUAAUACUCAUUUACCAUAUCAUGGAGGCAUUGCCCCACACCCUAAUCUAUCAAUCAUUCUUAAUAACAAAAUAGAAAAUAAAUCAUAACAUGAUUGUCAUAACCCAAUUAUGGGUUAUUCCCCAAAAAUUAAUUUUUUUUUCAAAAUAAAAAUCAAAAAAUAAAAUAAAGACUGGCAACGUGGAGAAAGCAGACUGGGAAAUCAAGCUGUAAUUUUUAAAAGAAAUUCAAGGCUAAUUGUACCCCAUUGUGCCCAAAAAUGGAGGAAAAAUAUGCAAAUUCAAGGUUAAAUUAAAUGAUUAUUGGACGAAUUUGCAUAAAAAUUAAGUUCAAUGACAUAAUUAAAUUUUUAUAGGCCAAUUUGAUUUAAUCAUUGGCCAAAUUGAAUUUCAAUUAUGUUUAAGAAUUAAUUUGGGUCCAAUUAAAGGAUUUAAUUAAGUGCAAGGACUUAAUUAUACUUUAAAUGGGUCAAAUUAAUUUUAUUUGGGGCUUAAUUGAUGAAAAAUUAAGUUUGGAAGCCUAAUUUGGGCUUAAUUGAGAAGAUUGGAAUUUUAAGAGACUAAAAUUAAUUUUUACCAAGUUAAUUGAUUGAAAUUAGGGGUUAAAUUGCAAGAAAAUUGAAGUUUUGGGGUCAAUUAGGGGUUAAAUUACAUAAAUUCGAGACCAUGGACUAUAUUACAAAAGUCGAGGCUCAAAUAGUAAUUCAUCAUGGGCUUAAUUGCAAAAGUUUAGGGUCAAUUAGGGGUUUUAUUGAAAGAAAUUGAAAGAGGAAGGACUGAAAUGAACUUUGGCCAAAAAUAGAUUCUGGUACUAUUCAUCUUUUUCUUUAAUUCUCUGAAAUAGUUGGUCUGGUUACCUACUUUACAGCUGCAUUUAAUGUACCUAACGUCCACCAAAUUUGCCCAAACUUGCACGAAACUAAUCACCAGACAUCUCUCUACAUCUGGGUAUGGUCUUCACCGGCUCACUAGCAAAGAAACGGACGUUAUGCCUACUUUGAGCCAACGGUUGGGUUCCUUCCCAUCUGAAUCAAGGGCUGAAAUUUUUCUCCAGUAUAGAUAAGAUUGCCCUCUUCCACCGCCUAUAAAUAGAGGUGGAUUUGAUGGCCUGAAGAAGGAGAAAAUCGGGUCCAAAAUAAGCUAAAAAAUCAGCCUCUUCCUGGUUUCUGUCACUCUCUCUGUUUUUCUGUCUUUCUUUCUCUCUCCACCGUGUCUUCAGCUGUUGAAGACCCCACAGAAAAUUUUCUCCUCCACCAACAGAUGGCUGCUCAGCCUCUCCACGAGCCCAAAUCCUCACCGGCGAUAGGGGCAGCCACUGCGAGGUUCUCUUUCUCCCCGCUGCAGAUUUUCUUCUUCUGCUUCUUCUUCUUUCUUCCUCCGUCAUUGAACACCGUGUCUUCAGUAGUUUAACACCCCCACAUAAACCUUUCUGCUACACCAACAUACGGUUCUUUAGUGUUAGAGAAGCCACUGCGUCUCUCUCCUCUCCUUCCUCUCCUCCUUCUCCCCUCUGUAAAUUUCUUCAUUUUCUUCCUCUUCCAGCUGCAGCCACUCCAGCCAACUUAGGCAGCCACCUCCACCGCCGUUUCCACCACCGGUUUCAGGUCGUCCUCCCAGCCAGCCAUCACCGCCACGCCAGGUGGUCCGCCUCCCUUGCUUCGCCUUCGUCUCCCCGUUCCACUGUUUUGAACAGUGGAUCGUGAAUUAUAAUUUACGUCCACAGUUCCAGUGGAAUAUAUAUAUAUAUAUAUAAAAUCAAAAAUCUUUUAAAAAAAUUGUGAUUUUCAAAAAUAUUUUUCCAACAAUUUUUCAUAAUAUUGGGUUAUAUGUUUACACUGUAAAAUACAAAUCCAAUAUUAAAAUACUCGGUUUUCUCCAAAAUAUUUCAAAAAAAAUAAAACAUUUCAAAACAUUUGCAAAAAAGAAAAAAAAUAUUUUGUUGCAUACGACCAAAUCCUGAAAUUUUUCCAAGCAUAUUUUUCAUAAAAAAACAAAAAUUGCAUCUUUUUCAUGUUUUAAAAAAAUCCAAAAAUGGAUAUCGUAACCAGUUUAUGAUUAUCCAUUAAGAUUUGGCCAACAUGUCAAAAAUCUUUUUCCCAUCUUUUUUUAGGAUCUAGAUGUAGACUUUAAUAUUUUUGGAGUGUAAAAUUACACGAUAAAGUACACCCUCAGGUAUUAAAGAUACAAGGUAUAUAAAUGCGAUGCUAAAAUUCAGACCUUAGAACGAUUAUGAUUUAACCCGAUAAGGUAGAGACUCUCUCAUGAAGAGAAAUCUGCCUUGAGUCUUAGAAAAGACCAACGAAUAGAAACCCGACUUAGAAAAAACAAUCAAACAACAAUGCAACUUACUUUAGGUAGGUGCACUGGGGGUGAUGUGUCUUCCCCUUACACAACCAGUCCCUUACUCAGACUCUCACAGACCAUAGGUUCCUAGUAACCAUAAUACUUGGUGGCGACUCCUAAACAGUAAUCAUAAUUUUAUGAUUAAAUCCAAAAAUCCUUCCCAACACACAACACCUCACACAGGAGGCACGACAAAGAGCCUCCGCCGUCGCCUGACGACGUCGCCCCGCAACAAUGAUAGAUACCAUCAUUCCACUUAGUCUAGUAUUUGUCUAUACGAACUACAAACUACUUGUUAUUAUUCAUUUUUGGGUCCCCGCACAAAAAAAAAAAACAUUAUCUGAAGAAAACCAAAAAACAGAUAGCAGUGAGAAGAAGACAUAAGAACAGCCAGAAAAUAGCUAAAGAUUGGUUGAGGAAGUUCAAAAAUACAAAGAUUGAAAUUUGACAGUAUAUUUUUUAUCUGUGAAGACUUUAUUUACAAAGAAAAUUCAACUUGAUGAAAAAAAGUUCAAAAUCAGAUGUUUAAGGACUUAAAUAGAUUUUAUUGAAAGAUUAAUUGAGUUUGUAAAGGGUCUGAUUGCAAGAAAAAUUUAUUUUUAAGUCAAUUUUGACUUUAAUUAGAAAAAAAUUAAAGUAUGGGGGUCAAAUUAUAAUUCUUAAGAGUUAAUUUGGUCAAAUCAGGGGCUUAAUUGCAUAAAUAUUGAAGUUUGAUGGGCAACUAAGGACCUGAUUGAAGAAAUCCAAAACCGAGGACCCAACUAGAAAAGGCUCGUAAAUGUAGGGGCUAGAAUUGACCGAAUCAGGGGCUAAAUUGAAGAAAUUGAAAGUUUGUUGAUCAAUCAAGGGUUAAAAUACACAAAUUCAAAACCAAUAACUAAAGUGAAAAGGGCAUCUAACAUCAAGGUUGAUAUUUGAAUUUGACAGGGAUGCAAUUGAAUUUAUUCUUAAAAUCAAAAUUGUAAUUGAGGACUUGAUUGAAUAAAAAAAAAUUAAGGACUGAUUUGAAAAUUGACAUGUUUUGACACUAUUUUAAUUUAAAUGAAAUGAUGCGUUUUGUAAAAAAACGACGUCGUUUUAUUCAUUGUUCAUAUAUAUAUAUAUAUAUAUAUAUAUAUAAAGCCCAAAACGGUGUUGUUUUGAACGACACUGUGUAUCUUCUUCUUCCCCUAACGCACAAAGGCAGGGGAAGAAGGUUUUUCUUCCAUUCCUUUGCAGCGUCUAUCUCUCCCUCUCUCCCCCUCCCCUUACCCAAAAACCAUGACUCCACCCAUAUGCCCUCACGGCCUACCACCAUGAUGAAAGAGGCAGAGGGGAAAAGUACUACGAGCUGCUCUAGGACGACUACACAGAGACCACCCUAGCCACCAUACCUCUGCGCCAUGACUAGACAGGGGUAGUAGCUCUCUCUGCUAUCUUUCCCCCUUAUAAAUACCAUGGGACGAGAGAAAAAAACAGCGAGAUAAAGAGAUGAAAAGGGGAGGGAAGAGAGCAAAAAAAACAGAAGAGAAACAAAAAGAAAUAGGGGAGAACAAAGGAAGGAAAAGGGAGAGAAACAAAAACAAAAAAACAUAGAAAAAAAGAAAGAACAGGAGAGACAAGAACUAGAGAAGAAAACAAAAGAGAACAAAAAAAAUAGAGAACAAGAGAGGAACAAAAAAAAAAGGAAAGAGAGGAAUUCCAUGCCCCUGUACAGAGAAGAAAAAACCGCAACAGCAACCACCGUUUUUUCUCCCCACCGUCGCCUGCUUUCCUUGUCACCAUUAUUAGCACCGCCGCGAAGCCACCGCCAGGUCAACCUCUUCUCCUUCUCUUUUUUCUUCUUCUCCUUCGGUCACCCUCCACUAUUUUGCAAGUGAAUAGUGGAGAGUGAAUUAUAAUUUAUUUUCUACUAUUCACUUACAGAACAGUAAAGAGUCUCUCUACUGUUUAUUAGGUCGAACCAGUUCCGUCCCAGACCAAAAUGGUGGGGUCAGGUUCAGCCCAGUCCCAUAAAUAGAAAAGAAGUUUUGUUGGGCUGACAACGACCUAACCCCUAUUUUAGGCUGGUGUUGGCCCAACUCUUUUUGGCUGACUUUGGCCUAAUUUAUUUUGGGCUGAUCUCAUCUUAGACAGGAUGGGCUCCGCCCAUAUAAUUGGGCCGAGCCCAUCCCAAUAUAUUAUAAUAUAAUAAUUUAUAUAAUAUAAUAUUAUAUAUUAAUUGAAAACAAAAACAAAAAAUUCCAAAAAUCCUUUUAAAAAAAUUAUGAUUUUCUCUCGUAUUUUUAUAGCAAUUUUGAUUAAUAUUGGUUUUUAUUUUUAUACUGUAAAAAUAUAAAUCCGGUAUUAAAAUACUUGGUUUUCUAUGAAAUAUUGCAAAAAAAUAUAAAACAAUAUCAUGUUUUCACGCAUACGACCAAAUCUCUCAAAAAUAUAAAAAUUUUCAUAUUGUAUUUUCAAACCAUAACAAAAAUUCAAAAAAUAUGUAUUAAUAUGAUUUUUGAGCAUUAAUAACCAAUUUAUUAAAGCUAUGAGAAUUAGGUCAAUAUUUCAAAAAUACAAAAAAAAAUUAUUUUAUUUUCUUUUAAUAUCUAGGAUUACGAACUUAUACGUAAAAUGUAUUUUCAAUAUUAAAUAAGAGUUGGUUCUUUUUUUUUUGUUGAUAUUAGAACGGUUAGGUUUUUUCCGAUAAGAUAAAGAUUUCCUUACCGAGAAUGAUUUUUCUUAAACCUUAAACAAUCCAACCAUUAGAAAACACGACAAUACUCUAGUUAUAUCAGACAAUCAAACAAUACAGCUUACCUUAAGUAUGAUGUAUUUGGGGUGCUAUUGCAUUUUCUUUAUGCAACCAGUUCCCGUACCUGAUUUCUGAGACAAUUAAGGUUUCUAGUGACCAAAAUACUAAGUAGUGACUUUAAUUUGCUUUUUUUUGUUAUGUAUGGACACAAACUGGCUGUUGGUUGCCAUGUCAAACAUGGUUGCAUGGUGAAGAUCAAGAAUUGUUGCUGAAUAUUACAUAUAGUGGUAGGAGUAGCUGCUAUAAUUGACUAAAAUGGGGAUGAUUGUCUCCUAUAUCAGAUAUAAAUAGAGGGUGUUAAUAAGACCUGAGUGACACACGAAAAUAGAGAAAAACACGGGGAGAGAGAGAGAGCUAGAGAGAGUUGAGUUGAAUAGAGAAAAAUUUUCUACUCCUCCUUAUUUUAUUGUUUGUAUUGUUUCUAAGUUUGAUUAAUAUAAAAUAGUAACUCUGUGGAGGAGGCAGAUUGCUUAACUAAAUAAAUUGUGUAUUUGAUUUCUAAAAUUUUCUAAUAUUUUUUUAUUAUUAAAUAAUAAAAAUUUCUUAUCCUGUUUAUCUCUCGAUUUCUAAAUAUUAAAAAAAAACUUGACUCAGGAAAUGUACGAAAUAGUCACAGUUUUGCGUGCUCACAAGUCACAAGGUAAUCUACCUAUAAGCAACCAUUUUCAAAGUCAAGACACGCGUGUUCAUGUCAUCAUUCACAAUUCAGGAAAUGUACGAAAUAGUUUUUCUUGUAUUUUUUAAAAAUGAUCAAUAUUAAUAUCAAUUCAAUAAAAUUUAAAAAAUAAUAUGUGAAAAGUCGAACGCGUUUCAAAAACCUUUAAAAAUUUAAAUUCUUUUUUAAACGACAUUGAAAAUACUAAAAACGAUGCAAAUAUAUUAAAAACAUAUUUUUUUAGAUUUUCAUUAUUUUUCACUAUUUUUGAAUUUUUCAAAAAUUUUAUCAAAAAAAUGAAUAAAAAAUUAGGUAACAUCAAUACCUAUAACCAUUCAAUUUCAAAGUCAAGACACGCGUGUUCAUGAAGUAUACGUAUCAUCAUUCAUUUUCCAAGUCAAGACCGACUCUUGAAUUAAUUGUAUGAGAAAGGAUUUAUAAAUUCCACAACGAAUAAAUCAAACCUCUCUCCCAUUAAUUAAUUGCUUUUUUGUUAUUUCAAAAGUACUUUUUUUAAUUUUCAAUCCAAUCAGUCUUUUAAUUAUCUUUUGUCAAUUUUUACUCAGUCUUUUGUACUGUUUUGAUGUCUUAUAUCUAUUAUAUGUAUGAUAGUUUCUCAGUUUUUUUGGAUUUGGAAAAUUUUUCUAGGUCGCUGGAAGAACGACUCUGUGACCGUAUCCUUCAUGUAUCGAAUUUCCAGCACUUAUUUUACAUCAGCCACUUGCAGGUCAUGAGCCCCCUGCUCUUUUGCUUUCCGACGAAUAUAAUCUUUCAUUCAUCAAAAAAUCCAAAAGAAGAAGAAAUUAUAUUUACCUCAGCAAUGAAUGACUUUUUCUCGGCUGCGAAGAGCCCAAGACCUUAAAUUUGCAGUUUAUAAAAGCAACUGAAGAGCUUAUUUCAAUGUUUAUUUGUGCAUUAAUAGAUAAAUAUAUUAGAGUAGGGCAAUAUUGUGUAAUCUUCAAUCCCAUCAUACCACAGAAAAAAAAGAUCAAGUAAAAGUUGAGAGUGGUCAGUUUUUGAACAAAACAGGCACUUAAACAGGUUUUGACUGUUUGUUUUGAAGGGCCACGCCAGAAGUUUAAAAAACAAAUAUCAAAGAAAUUUUAUUUAUUUGACUACUUAAAGAACCUGGACAUGAUCCACAUUACUCCCGUUUAAUGUUAAUUUCAACCUAUGUCACAAGUCACAACUGCUUCGAAGAAAAUAAUACGAAAGUACUAUUUCGAGGAAAGUAUAGUUUUCCAAUUCAACAUCAUGGAAAAGUUUUUGAAAUGAAUUUAAAUGUUGAAUACUUUUCCAAUUCAACAUAUUGUGUCUCAUAUAUAUAUCAGCUAGCUAACCCUCUCCAUCUCUACAAUCACCCAUCUCGCAGACUAGCUCGCUCUCUACACAUACCAAGACAUACAUUUGAUUCCCUAAAAAUCUCAGGUUUCUUUCGUGUCGAAAAUGGGGUCUCAAGGAAAGGCUCGAUACUUGACAAUAAUAGUACUCCUAAUUGUUACCAUUAUUUUGUUAUCAUGUUCUAACCUUACUGUGAUAGCAAGAAUGGAUCCAACUCCAUGCACAUAUGACCGCAAGCAUCCUAGUGAGUGCCACAUCGGUGAACCAGCUGCAGCUACUUAAUUUAUCCAUGGAUAUUAUUUAUGUGUCCUCCUUCGCUGGUUUAGGUUACUUCCUAGCUAUUGUCAUGUUUUCUUUUCCCAAGCUUUUUGGCGUUUGCACCCAUUAAUUCUUCACCUUGCUUUGAUUUGCCAACGUUAUGAUAUUAAUAGAGUAUUGUGUAUUUACAAGUUUUUUUUAGAAGUCGACAUACUUGUUGGUUAUUAAUAUCUUUGAUUUGCCAAUGAUAUCAUAGCCAGCAAAAUGAGCAAACCUGAUACCAAAUAUAGCAACUGAUCAUAACCUUACCAGUUUGAGUAAAAUCCAAAGAUAUUACGUACUGGUGCAAAAGUUGUGAUAACAUCAAACAGCAAAACAACAGCUGAGGAAUUGAAGGCAGGAAAGCAGCAACCCAGAAUAACAACAGCGGUCUUGGGUGUGAUUCUGGAAGGUCGUAUACGAAUAAGGAAGAAGAAAUCAACAACGAUAAUUGCAAUAUGUUCAAAAUAAACAUGCCUGCAACCUGUAAUAUUUGCACAUUCACUUUUGAUAUUUUCCGUUUGCACAUUGUUUGAUGCAUCUGUUCCACUAUCUUCUUCAAACUAGACAAGAAAAAAACUACAAGCAUAUUUCCAAGGAUUGACUAACAAGCAUAUAUAAGUAAAUGGACAUUUGAUUUUCUUCUCCAGAAAUGAUUAUAGAGAAAAUAGUUGUUCACUCCACAAAUAGCAGGUGAUUAUCUACAGCAUUUUUUAGUCGAACUUCAUAUGUAAACUUCAUAACCUUAGUCUGGGAAGCAAUUCAGCUCUAACUCACAGUUUCUAUUGAAGUUCAUCUGAACUUCAAAUUUAUGACCCUAAGAACGCAUCGACCUUAGCAUUUGUUCUCCUUGACAAAAACUUCAUGCAAAUGGGAGGUUUUACUCCUGCUAGAGCAAGUAUCGAACUAGGCAAAGUCCAUAUCCCGUCCCCACAAAUCAAACCAGAAGCCACUGCUGGCCCAAAAGCAUCUGCCUUUGCCUUGUCAAUCUUUUCCCAGAUAAAUAGAAUCAAGCUUCCCACACACAUGUCGAUGGCAAAGUAUGAGCCAAUAUAGAAAGGUAUAGCCAUUGCCAUUGGAUUGGGAAUGAACCUAGCCCGUUUCUUACCCAACACAUCCUUGAUCAAAUUUAUCAGAAUAGCUGCACCGAAGAACCAAUAACAAAGAUAGAGACAAUUCUUUGGUAGAGACGAGAAUCCUUCUACCCCCAAUAUAGCCAUGUUUCGAAAUACAGUAGCAUAAGGAGCAGGGUAUUGACUUCCAGGAGUCCCCAGAUCCUUGAAGGCCUUAAAAAAAAGCCAAAAUACACACGGGGAAAUCAUGCAACCCAUUGCAGUGCCAAUUAGUUGGCUCACAAACAUCGAACGUGGUGAAGAAAGGGUCAAAUAACCAGUCUUGAAAUCUUGAGAUAGGUCAGAGGCUGUGGAGACAAUAUUCAUCAUGACUCCACAGGCCGCUAGUCCUGCAAGAACUCCACCAUGAGAGCCACCAGCCCAUGCCCCAAUUACAAAAAUUGCAAGCGUCCCAUAGGUGGAAGCAAGGGACCAAUCAGUGAGUCCACAACCAUAAGCAUUACAGAAUGCAAGGGCUGGGGCAAAGAUGUAGAUAACCAAUAUGUAAUACCAUUUCAGUUCAGGAAAUAUAUGCGGAACGGUGGUUGUAGAAAUGGCAGCAAUUGUGACAUAACCUGCAACAGCAAACCAUGUUGGAAUUUGAUCUUUGAGAAAGAGGUGGGUGCGACGUUGCUCAUCAUAGGAGAUCCUGGAUGUCUCGGGAGAGGAACGGUCAGCAACAGGCAGAGCACCAGUUGCAUCUCUCCCACGAAGUUGAAAAAACAAUGCAGCGAGUGUUCGGCUUAGAACCUUGAAGAAGUUGUACAGACCGUCACCCAAGACCAAGGCAGUGGCAAUAAAUACCUGUGUUCAAUGCAUAAGCGUUGGUAUGAAAGAAAAGGCUUCAAGAAAAUGUUAAAAAUCAUGUAAUGGGCAUUCUUGUCACCUUAACCUUGUUAGAAAACUUACCUUGUAACCUUGGAGGCCAUGUAAGCUGCCUGGUUUGAGGUCUGCUGGAUACCAGUCACCCUUUUUUGUAUCUAUGAGAGGCCACAUGAGACCCCAGGAAAGAAUUCCUCCAAGCAAUACUGAUAUGUUUAUGAUAUAUGGGCAAAUCAUUCCAACUCCAACAUAUGUUGCUGAGAAAUCAAAGAAAAAUCUGCACAUGUAACAAGAACAUUAUUAGUCAAAGAUACCACAACGAAUUUGAAACAGAAUGCCAUAAUAAAUGGAACUACAUUCAACAAGAAGAGAGGAUUUUGGAAGAUUGAGUAAUGCUUUUACUUGUUUUCAUGUGCUUUAAGACCAAGUGAGGGGAACUCAGCGAAUCCACAACCAUCUCCUGCAGUGUAGAACCAUUGAAAGAAACCCCACAAGAAGCUGAAUGAGAAGAACUUGCCCAACACUCUCACUUGUUUCCUGUAACAGUAGAAUAACAAAGUUCGAUACUCUUUCAUGUCAAAUGAUCAUCCAUAUAAGUGCAUGAGGUCUCAUAAUGCCUUACUUUGCUAGCUUGGCUCCUGCAGGAGUGUGGAAGCUGUUGAUGAGAUGGGCAGUUGCAGUGCCACUUGGAUAUGUCAAUUUGAAGUCUAUAAUCAUGACCUGGAAAUAACCAGGGUAACAAUGAGGAUUAGUUUUUGGCAAAAUCAAUACACUAGGCAAAAAUGUAAAAUGCAGAGAAAAGUUUUAUAUUUCCUAUAAUCAUAUAAAGAAAUUGAAUGCUGAUAUAGGUUGUAAAGUCUACCUUUCGAAGAGGCACCGCCGAAAAGAGUCCAAGAAAGCUAACAACAAACAAAAAGCCAAUCAUCCAAGACAGAGAUGGAUUUUUAAAGGCAUCACUAUCUUCAGUUAAUUGUUUGGCCACGGUUUCACUCAUUCCAAACAGAUAACUCCCAAAGCCUCCUAUUAUAAGGAAACAAGGAAAAAAUUAUAGAAUGGAAACCAUUGGUACAAAAAUCAACAAGUUUAAUAUCAUCAUAAGCAUAAUCACAAAUUAGCCGUUUCAUUACAAUAAUUAAUUCAGUUUCGAAACAAGUUUGGCAAGUAAUCAGGCUUUUCUUGACUAUUUGGAUAAGUUAGAAACAUAAUGUAUUCAUCUUGACAUUAUGUUAAUGAUUCACAGUUAAAGAAAAGGUUUGAUUAAUAACUCAAGCUCACAACUAGCAUUCUAGAAACAGAUAUUAUUCACAUUUUCCUUUCUUUUACUAAUGGAGAAGACUUCUUUUUCCACAAAUCAGAAUAUUGUUAUAAGACUUCCUGACAUAAAUCUGAACUUAGUAAGUCAUCCAUAUCCAGCGCAUAUGAAUUGAACUGUCAAAAAAGUAUCUGUCAAGUGACAUACCAGCUGCACCCCUAACAUUAUCACACUCCAGGAGACAGAGAUAGAUUUGUUCAUGUCUCUAAUGGUAAGUUCAAGUGUUGAUUAGUUUAGCAAAACUUCACAAGUGGUAGUCAUAAAGCCUCAAUUUUGAUUUGUCUCUCAAAGACUUUAGGCAGUAAGAGAUUCUUUGUCUUCAAGGAUCAUGCAAAUCUACUCCCAUCUGAGAUAAAAGGGAUCCAGAGAGAGAAAAAUGGUUGCCUUAUCAUGUAAUCUAGCAAUUAGAAGAUGGAAAUCUUGACAUUGAAUUUUAGUAACUACUGUAAGUUUGCAACCUUUAAGAACAGAAACAAAACCAAAUGCACAGAAAUAUUAAUAUCUUGAUCAAAGAAACCUAGAUAUCUCCUCAACUUCGAAAGAAAAGAGAAAGAAAAUUGAAUUUCAAAAUAAUUAAGAAAGAUGAAAUGAAAAUUAAUGGCAGUAAACAGUAUAGAAAGUAUACCACUAAAGGCAAUGCCAGAGGAGGCAACCACGCAAGUCUGUAUUACAGUGUUCUCUUGCCUCGUAAAGGGUUGCUUCAAAAGUCCAGACUUUUCAAGAAACUUUGUCCAGGUCUUGAUAAAAAAGAAGCCCAGAAGGCCAGCAGAGACAUUGAGGGAAGGUAUGAUACCAGUUGUAAGAUUGAGCUUCAUUACUAUGACGCAGAACAAAAUGCUCAACACGAAGCUCACCACAAGGGCCCUCAGUGUCAGCUGAUUCCUCCAUGAUGGCACUUCUUGGUUCUCAAAUAUUCUUUCCACUGACAACUCUUCUUCUUGUUCCUCUUUCUUGUCCUUCUUUCUGUGACCAUGAUCAUCCUCCAAAUCAUGAUCAUUCUCUACCUUGGUGUCGUCUCUUUCAUUACGUUCCAUUUUAUUUUCUUAAAAGAAUGAUUCUUUAUGGAGACGAAGAGAGUUGGGAGCGUGUUUAAUAAGUGGUUGUGAUUAUUGCUCAACACAUCACAAGCAAAUUGAAUACGAUGAAUAUGAGGAGUUGUUAAAAGUUAAAACGGGUUGUUGUAGUGAGUUUAACCUGUCUGUUUUUUUGGGUUAUUUUUUUUAAUUUUAUUUAAUAUUUUUGAAUUAUUUUAAUAUAUUAAUAUUAAAAAUAAAUUUUAAAAUAUAAAAAAUAUAUUAUUUUGAUAGUUUUUAGCAAAAAUUAUUUUAAAAAACAUCUAUUAUUAUAUUUUUAAACACUCUUUAAAAUAACAAAAUGACUCUAAAUGACAUGUGUUUGAGUUAAGUUUGUAAUUUUUAUAUAUGUGAUCUGUAGGUACUUUUAAAGAAGUAGAUUAGAAAUAUAGUAGAAAUUAUUUUUAAAAUAAUCUCAAAAUAUUAUUUUAAUAUUUUUUUAAAUUAAAAAUAGAAAUUAUUUUCAAAACAAUUUGAAAAUAAAAAUAUUAAUUUUAAAAAGGAAUGUUUUAAACAAGUUACCAAAUGGCCACUGAAUCCAAUGCCAAAAGCUUCUAUUUCUAAUUUGUGGAAGACGAGAAGUCAAUAGUCAAUUUCCAAAAAAUUAAAAAAAAAAUAAAGGGAAAAUAAAAGAUCUGUGAAUGUCCAUUGUCCAAAGUUUGUGGGAAAAAAAAUGAUAUAAGAAAUAAAGAAAAUGAUAUUAAAUUACUUAAAGAAGCUAGACUAGAAUAUAGUAGAAUUUAUUUUUAAAUCAAUUUAAAAACACUAUUUUAAUAGUUUUUAAAUUAAAAAUAAUUUAAAAAAUAAUUAUUACUAAACUCCCAAAAACCUUUAAAACAAUAAUCAUGCAUAUGAUAUUUUUCAGCUUCUUUUCAUAUUCUUAGGACAAGCCUUCAACAUAUUUGUUACAAGUCUCAUAUUCGCUGAAGCUUUUAUCGUCUUCCUCGACGCAUCUGAUAUUUUUUCCAUCUUUUUUUUUCUCGUGUUGGAUAACUAAGUCUGGCAUGGUUUUAUUGUGAGACUGAUAAUAACACAGAUGCACAUUGGACCACCUGAUAUGAUCAUAGCUAGCAAAAUGAGCAAACCUGAUACCAAAUAUAGCAACUGAUCAUAACAGCUCACAAAGGGUACUGUAAUUUUCACUUUUCACAUUGCUUGAUGCAUCUGUUCUACUAUCUUCUUCAAACUAGACAAGAAAAAAAACUACAAGCAUAUAUAUAUAUAUAUAUAUAAGUAAAUGGACAUUUGAUUUUCUUCUCCAGAAAUGAUUACAGAGAAAAUAGUUGUUGCCUUGUUGGCUCCACGGAAUAGCAGGUGAUUAUCCACAGCAUUUUUGAGUCGAACUUCACAUGUAAACUUCAUAACCUUAGUGUAGGAAGCAAUUCAGCUUUACUUCACAGUUUCUAUUCAAGUUGAUCUGAACUUCAACUUUAUGACCCUAAGAACGCAUCGACCUUAGCAUUUGUUCUCCUUGACAAAAACUUCAUGCAAAUGGGAGGUUUUACUCCUACUAGAGCAAGUAUCGCACUAGGCAAAGUCCAUAUCCCAUCCCCGCAAAUCAAACCAGAAGCCACUGCUGGCCCAAAAGCAUCUGCCUUUGCCUUGUCAAUCUUUUCCCAGAUAAAUAGAAUCAAGCUUCCCACACACAUGUCGAUGGCAAAGUAUGAGCCAAUAUAGAACGGUAUAGCCAUCGCCAUUGGAUUGGGAAUGAACCUGGCCCAUUUCUUACCCAAAGCAUCCUUAAUUAAAUUUAUCAGAAUAGCUGCACCGAAGAACCCAUAACAAAGAUAGAGGCAAUUCUUUGGUAGAGACGAGAAUCCGUCUACCCCCAAUAUAGCCAUGUUUCGAUAUACAGUAGCAUAAGGAGCAGGGUACUGACUUCCAGGAGUCCCCAGAUCCUUGAAGGCCUUGAAAAACAGCCAAAAGACACAAGGUGAAAUAAUGCAACCCAUUGCAGUGCCAAUUAGUUGGCUCACAAACAUGGACCGAGGUGAAGAAAGGGUCAAAUAACCAGUCUUGAAAUCUUGAGAUAGGUCAGAGGCUGUGGAGACAAUAUUCAUCAUGACUCCACAGGCCGCUAGUCCUGCAAGAACUCCACCAUGAGAGGCACCAGCCCAUGCCCCAAUUACAAAAAUUGCGAGCUUCCCAUAG
This 27554-nucleotide long non-coding RNA is filed under the name Populus trichocarpa (black cottonwood). Its description in RNAcentral is "long non-coding RNA (PTRI_LNC003929)". The record is from RNAcentral. Lineage: Eukaryota; Viridiplantae; Streptophyta; Magnoliopsida; Malpighiales; Salicaceae.